This 483-nucleotide ribosomal RNA is filed under the name uncultured bacterium. Its description in RNAcentral is "partial 16S ribosomal RNA". It matches the Rfam family "Bacterial small subunit ribosomal RNA", at positions 32 to 523 of the family's 1533-position model. The record is from RNAcentral.
AAUCAACGCUGGCGGCGUGCCUCAGACAUGCAAGUCGAACGAUUAAGGCUCUCUUCGGAGAGUGCGUAAAGUGGCGCACGGGUGAGUAACACGUAAGUAAUCUACCUUCGAGUGGGGAAUAACGUCCGGAAACGGACGCUAAUACCGCAUAAUGCAGCGGCACCUAAUGGUGACAGUUGUUAAAGAAUUUAUUCGCUUGAAGAGGAGCUUGCGGCAGAUUAGCUAGUUGGUAAGGUAAUGGCUUACCAAGGCUUCGAUCUGUAACCGGUCUAAGAGGACGGUCGGUCACACUGACACUGAAUAACGGGUCAGACUCCUACGGGAGGCAGCAGUCGGGAAUGUUGGGCAAUGGGCGAAAGCCUGACCCAGCAACGCCGCGUGAAGGAUGAAGUAUUUCGGUAUGUAAACUUCGAAAGAAUGGGAAGAAUCAAUGACGGUACCAUUUAUAAGGUCCGGCUAACUACGUGCCAGCCGCCGCGGUAA